This 72-nucleotide transfer RNA is filed under the name Sus scrofa (pig). It matches the Rfam family "tRNA". From Rfam's summary of the family: Transfer RNA (tRNA) molecules are approximately 80 nucleotides in length. Their secondary structure includes four short double-helical elements and three loops (D, anti-codon, and T loops). The record is from Rfam by way of RNAcentral. Lineage: Eukaryota; Metazoa; Chordata; Mammalia; Artiodactyla; Suidae.
UCCUUGGUGGUCUUAUGGUUAAGACUCAACACUUUUGCUGCUGUAGCCUAAGUUCCAUCCCUGGUCUGGGAU